GUACAGGCUGAGGGAGAGAGAGAGGGGCGAGCGAGGAGAGAGAGGGGCGAGCAAGCAAGCCAGCGAGGGAGAGAGAAAGUGUAUAUUCCUGUCAAACUGCACACAUGCCUUCAACAGCCAGUAGUUCAUUUGGUUUCCAGGGAUGGUCUGAGUCCAGCUCGGACCCAUAGCUCAGGAUCUGGUUGGCAAAGCGGUCCAGCUCCUGAAUUUCCUUUGGAAACCAAGGGACUGUGGAGACAGAGAACAGAGGCACAGAUGACGUCAUUGGCAACCAAUCAGGACAUCACUGAGUACCUGCAGAAUGACAUCACAUCCGUAAAUACGGGAUUGGCUGUGGGGGAAGGGCAGUCUCUGCUGAUGGGGGAGAAGAUGCAGGACAGCACCCCCGCCUUGGUGGCUUGCUCCUCCAGGUACAUGGAGCUCUGCAGGAAAACACAGAGAGCAGAGACAUCAGCUCUGGCCUCCUGGCCAGGACUGUACCAACCCACACAUUCCAGGGGGGUGCAUAGCAACAAGCUGCGAAGUCGGAAGAAGGUCUUGAGGCACACCAAACAUGUUCAAUCUGGUUUUGGGUUUUGGAGAAAAGAGAGAAAGAGAAGAGGUUAACCGGAGGGCAGUGAUCUGGUGUGUCCAGCGUGCGGGCGGACGCCAGGGCAAGCAGAGGAAGUUUGGAAAGCGGUGACCCAUUCCGACCUGCUGCAUGGGCGCUGACCCGCCGCGGUCCCUGGCCCAUGAUGCGCUGCUGGUGAGAGUGUCC
Anguilla rostrata (American eel) is the source of this 757-nucleotide long non-coding RNA. RefSeq lists it as uncharacterized. The transcript is spliced from 5 exons. Lineage: Eukaryota; Metazoa; Chordata; Actinopteri; Anguilliformes; Anguillidae. The record is from RefSeq and is a predicted model, not a curated record.